This 752-nucleotide ribosomal RNA is filed under the name uncultured bacterium. RNAcentral describes it as "bacterial SSU rRNA". It matches the Rfam family "Bacterial small subunit ribosomal RNA", at positions 8 to 795 of the family's 1533-position model. The record is from RNAcentral.
AGAGUUUGAUCCUGGCUCAGGAUGAACGCUAGCGGCGUGCUUUAAGCAUGCAAGUGGGACGGGUCACCGCAAGGUGACCAGUCGCGAACGGCUGAGUAAUACGUAAGUACUUACCCCAUGGUGUGGAAUACCUUGCCGAAAGGCAAGCUAAUACCGCAUGACCUCCAAUUUAUUGGAGAAAAGGAUUUAACUAUCCGCCGAGGGAGAGGCUUGCGGCCCAUCAGCUAGUUGGUAGGGUAAAAGCCUACCAAGGCUACGACGGGUAGGGGAUGUGAGAGCAUGUUCCCCCAGAAAGGCACUGAGACACGGGCCUUACACCUACGGGUGGCAGCAACUGGGAAUCGUACGCAAUGGACGAAAGUCUGACGUCGCGACGCCGCGUGAGGGAUGAAGGCUAUUUGGUUGUAAACCUCUUUUGCCAUAGUCGAGAGGCUAUGGAGAAUAAGCACCGGCUAACUCCGUGCCAGCAGCAGCGGUAAUACGGAGGGUGCAAGCGUUAUCCGGAUUUAUUGGGCGUAAAGCGUUUCGUAGGCGACGAGAUAAGUCACUUUUCAAAGACCGGGGCUCAACCCCGGGAAGGGGAGCGAUACUACCUCGUUUGAAUCAUUUAGGGGCUAUCGGAACUAUCGGUGUAGGAGUGAAAUCCGUUGAUAUCGAUAGGAACACCAAGGGCGAAGGCAGGUAGCUGGGGAUGUAUUGACGCUGAGGAACGAAAGCUAGGGGAGCGAAAGGGAUUAGAUACCCUGGNAGUC